UCACAAGUGUCUGACGUGUCGGGUGG
Molecule: non-coding RNA, 26 nt
Filed under: Bombyx mori (domestic silkworm)
Lineage: Eukaryota; Metazoa; Arthropoda; Insecta; Lepidoptera; Bombycidae
Source: RNAcentral